AACGUAGGUUCCGAGCGUUAUCCGGAUUUACUGGGCGUAAAGCGUGUUCAGGCGGCUUCGCAAGUCGGGCAUGAAAUCUCUCGGCUCAACCGGGAGGGGCUGUCCGAUACUGUCGGGCUUGAGGGCAGUAGAGGGUGGUGGAAUUCCGGGUGUAGUGGUGAAAUGCGUAGAUAUCCGGAGGAACACCAGUGGCGAAAGCGGCCACCUGGACUGUACCUGACGCUGAGGAGCGAAAGCGUGGGUAGCAAACAGG
RNAcentral lists this ribosomal RNA (253 nucleotides) under uncultured bacterium. Its description in RNAcentral is "partial 16S ribosomal RNA". It matches the Rfam family "Bacterial small subunit ribosomal RNA", at positions 524 to 776 of the family's 1533-position model. The record is from RNAcentral.